AAGUCGUAACAAGGUUUCCGUAGGUGAACCUGCGGAAGGAUCAUUACAAAUUUGGUCUUUACCCGACCAUCUCAACCAACUGUUGUGCAACGUACCCGCGACUGGUGCUAGCCGACGUACGUGAAGAGAUUUACUUCUUAAGGUACUUCUUGACCCGUGGCCAAGGUGAUCACCGUCAUUUGUUUACCAAACCUUCUACUAAAUUAACCUAAACCGAUCUCGAGCUCAGUAUUGGGCGUAGACAGAUUACACACACACACAAAUACAACUUUUAGCAACGGAUCUCUAGGCUCUC
This 295-nucleotide unclassified non-coding RNA is filed under the name fungal sp. RNAcentral describes it as "partial internal transcribed spacer region". The stretch from base 1 to 46 matches the Rfam family "Eukaryotic small subunit ribosomal RNA", at positions 1786 to 1831 of the family's 1831-position model. Lineage: Eukaryota; Fungi. The record is from RNAcentral.